AAAUGCCGAUACUUGGUGCUUUUAUUUUAAAAAAUCCCAUGUGAAUGAAUGGAACAUAUUUUCAAACAAGAUAUCGCUCAUGAGUAUUUGCUGAACAUAGCUGAGAAGUUCACAUUUGAGAAUAACUGAUUUAAAGCCUGACCAUGGCGACAAUUGGAGAUUUCGACCCGCUCAACUCAACGGUACCUGCGACCAAGAUUGAAGUUACCGUCUCGUGCAGGAACCUGCUGAAUAUGGACACUUUCUCCAAAUCAGACCCUGGUCCAUUCAACCGCUCCCAUCUAUCUCUUAACACCAUCCAUACUGGAUUUCUAAUUUCCAUAUAUUUUUCAACUGUGCUGUGAUGCUUCAAAAGUACUCAACCUUUCUAUUCUCAUAGUUACUAUAUAUUGUAAAAUAAAGAUAAACAUUUUUGCUAAAAUAAUUAUUAUAUUAUUGAUCGAUUGACUAUGACUUUUUUUAAAUCACC
Molecule: long non-coding RNA, 469 nt
Organism: Oncorhynchus tshawytscha (Chinook salmon)
Lineage: Eukaryota; Metazoa; Chordata; Actinopteri; Salmoniformes; Salmonidae
Source: Ensembl